This 446-nucleotide ribosomal RNA is filed under the name uncultured bacterium. RNAcentral's name for it is "bacterial SSU rRNA". It matches the Rfam family "Bacterial small subunit ribosomal RNA", at positions 329 to 792 of the family's 1533-position model. The record is from RNAcentral.
UCCCAGACUCCUACGGGAGGCAGCAGUGGGGAAUAUUGCACAAUGGGGGAAACCCUGAUGCAGCAACGCCGCGUGAGUGAAGAAGUAUUUCGGUAUGUAAAGCUCUAUCAGCAGGGAAGAGAAUGACGGUACCUGACUAAGAAGCCCCGGCUAACUACGUGCCAGCAGCCGCGGUAAUACGUAGGGGGCAAGCGUUAUCCGGAUUUACUGGGUGUAAAGGGAGCGUAGACGGCCAGACAAGUCUGAAGUGAAAAUCCAGCGCUUAACGUUGGAAGUGCUUUGGAAACUGCCGGGCUGGAGUGCAGGAGGGGCAGGCGGAAUUCCUAGUGUAGCGGUGAAAUGCGUAGAUAUUAGGAGGAACACCAGUGGCGAAGGCGGCCUGCUGGACUGCAACUGACGUUGAGGCUCGAAGGCGUGGGGAGCAAACAGGAUUAGAUACCCCAGUA